This 246-nucleotide ribosomal RNA is filed under the name uncultured bacterium. Its description in RNAcentral is "partial 16S ribosomal RNA". It matches the Rfam family "Bacterial small subunit ribosomal RNA", at positions 523 to 769 of the family's 1533-position model. The record is from RNAcentral.
AUACGUAGGGAGCGAGCGUUGUCCGGAAUUACUGGGUGUAAAGGGAGUGUAGGCGGGAAAACAAGUCAGAUGUGAAACUAUGGGCUCAACCUGUAGACUGCAUUUGAAACUAUUUUUCUUGGGUGAAGUAGAGGUAAGCGGAAUUCCUAGUGUAGCGGUGAAAUGCGUAGAUAUUAGGAGGAACAUCAGUGGCGAAGGCGGCUUACUGGGCUUUUACUGACGCUGAGGCUCGAAAGCGUGGGGAGC